ACUGCUAUCGGAUUGAUACUAAGCCAUGCGAGUCUUUGUAGCAAUACAAGGCGGACGGCUCAGUAACACGUAGUCAAUCUAACCUAUGGACGAGGAUAACCUCGGGAAACUGAGAAUAAUACUCGAUAGAUCAUUAUCCCUGGAAUGGUUUAUGGUCCAAAUGAAUUUCGCCAUAGGGUGGGACUGCGGUCUAUCAGCUUGUUGGUGAGGUAAUGGCCCACCAAGGCUAUAACAGAUACGGGCUCUGAGAGGAGAGGCCCGGAGAUGGGUACUGAGACACGGACCCAGGCCCUAUGGGGCGCAGCAGGCGAGAAAACUUUGCAAUGUGCGAAAGCACGACAAGGUUAAUCCGAGUGGUUCCUGCUAAAGGAAUCUUUUGUUAGUCGUAACACCACUGAUGAAUAAGGGGUGGGCAAGUUCUGGUGUCAGCCGCCGCGGUAAAACCAGCACCUCAAGUGGUCAGGAGGAUUAUUGGGCCUAAAGCAUCCGUAGCCGGCUUUGUUAGUUUUCGGUUAAAUCUAUAUGCUCAACAUAUGGGCUGCCGGGAAUACUGCAAAGCUAGGGAGUGGGAGAGGUAGACGGUACUCCGUAGGAAGGGGUAAAAUCCUUUGAUCUAUGGAUGACCACCUGUGGCGAAGGCGGUCUACCAGAACACGUCCGACGGUGAGGGAUGAAAGCUGGGGGAGCAAACCGGAUUAGAUACCCGGGUAGUCCCAGCUGUAAACUAUGCAAACUCAGUGAUGCAUUGGCUUGUGGCCAGUGCAGUGCCGCAGGGAAGCCGUUAAGUUUGCCGCCUGGGAAGUACGUACGCAAGUAUGAAACUUAAAGGAAUUGGCGGGGGAGCACCACAAGGGGUGAAG
This 860-nucleotide ribosomal RNA is filed under the name uncultured archaeon. RNAcentral's name for it is "bacterial SSU rRNA". It matches the Rfam family "Archaeal small subunit ribosomal RNA", at positions 26 to 893 of the family's 1478-position model. The record is from RNAcentral.